UUUGGAAAAUGAUGAUAAAAAAAUCAAACAAUUUCAACUGAGGCAAAAGCUCUGCUGAUUUGAUUUUUUGCACGUCAGUCUGAUCUCAAA
This is a small nucleolar RNA of Amaranthus tricolor (Joseph's coat), 90 nucleotides long. RefSeq annotates it as small nucleolar RNA Z122. NCBI's taxonomy places the organism in Eukaryota, Viridiplantae, Streptophyta, Magnoliopsida, Caryophyllales, Amaranthaceae. The transcript has a single exon. The record is from RefSeq and is a predicted model, not a curated record.